UAUUGGACAAUGGGGGGAACCCUGAUCCAGCGAUGCCGCGUGUGUGAAGAAGGCCUGAGGGUUGUAAAGCACUUUCAGUGGGGAGGAGAGGUUAUAGGUUAAGAGCUGAUGACUGAGACGUUACCCACAGAAGAAGCACCGGCUAACUCCGUGCCAGCAGCCGCGGUAAUACGGAGGGUGCGAGCGUUAAUCGGAAUUAUUGGGCGUAAAGGGUGCGUAGGUGGUUAGAUAAGUUAUCUGUGAAAACCCUGGGCUUAACCUGGGGGAGAGAGAUAAAACUGUUGGACUAGAGUAUGGGAGAGGGUAGUGGAAUUUCCGGUGUAGCGGUGAAAUGCGUAGAGAUCGGAAGGAACACCUGUGGCGAAGGCGGCUACCUGGCCUAAUACUGACACUGAGCACGAA
RNAcentral lists this ribosomal RNA (402 nucleotides) under uncultured bacterium. RNAcentral describes it as "bacterial SSU rRNA". It matches the Rfam family "Bacterial small subunit ribosomal RNA", at positions 362 to 757 of the family's 1533-position model. The record is from RNAcentral.